AUUUAAGUAGUUUAUGUUAAAAUUUUGGUUUGUGGUGCCGACGAAGUAAUUUAUUUACCUUGAAUC
RNAcentral lists this transfer RNA (66 nucleotides) under Davidius lunatus. Its description in RNAcentral is "tRNA-His". Lineage: Eukaryota; Metazoa; Arthropoda; Insecta; Odonata; Gomphidae. The record is from RNAcentral.